GCCAGACUCCUACGGGAGGCAGCAGUGGGGAAUAUUGCACAAUGGGGGGAACCCUGAUGCAGCGACGCCGCGUGAGUGAAGAAGUAUUUCGGUAUGUAAAGCUCUAUCAGCAGGGAAGAAGAAAGACGGUACCUGAGUAAGAAGCCCCGGCUAACUACGUGCCAGCAGCCGCGGUAAUACGUAGGGGGCAAGCGUUAUCCGGAUUUACUGGGUGUAAAGGGAGCGUAGACGGUAUGGCAAGUCUGAAGUGAAAGCCCCGGGCUCAACCUGGGAACUGCUUUGGAAACUGGUAAACUAGAGUGCUGGAGAGGCAGGCGGAAUUCCUAGUGUAGCGGUGAAAUGCGUAGAUAUUAGGAGGAACACCAGUGGCGAAGGCGGCCUGCUGGACAGUAACUGACGUUGAGGCUCGAAAGCGUGGGGAGCAAACAGGAUUAGAUACCCCAGUAUCC
Molecule: ribosomal RNA, 449 nt
Filed under: uncultured bacterium
Lineage: Bacteria
Description: bacterial SSU rRNA
Rfam family: Bacterial small subunit ribosomal RNA
Source: RNAcentral